GGGGUAAAAUCCGUAGAUAUCACCAAGAAUACCCAUUGCGAAGGCGAUCUGCUGGAACUCAACUGACGCUAAGGCGCGAAAGCGUGGGGAGCAAACAGGAUUAGAUACCCUGGUAGUCCACGCCCUAAACGAUGUACACUAGUUGUUGGGAUGCUAGUCAUCUCAGUAAUGCAGCUAACGCAUUAAGUGUACCGCCUGGGGAGUACGGUCGCAAGAUUAAAACUCAAAGGAAUAGACGGGGACCCGCACAAGCGGUGGAGCAUGUGGUUUAAUUCGAAGAUACGCGAAGAACCUUACCUGGGCUUGAUAUCCUAAGAACCUUAUAGAGAUAUGAGGGUGCUAGCUUGCUAGAACUUAGAGACAGGUGCUGCACGGCUGUCGUCAGCUCGUGUCGUGAGAUGUUGGGUUAAGUCCCGCAACGAGCGCAACCCACGUAUUUAGUUGCUAACGGUUCGGCCGAGCACUCUAAAUAGACUGCCUUCGUAAGGAGGAGGAAGGUGUGGACGACGUCAAGUCAUCAUGGCCCUUAUGCCCAGGGCGACACACGUGCUACAAUGGCAUAUACAAUGAGACGCAAUACCGCGAGGUGGAGCAAAUCUAUAAAAUAUGUCCCAGUUCGGAUUGUUCUCUGCAACUCGAGAGCAUGAAGCCGGAAUCGCUAGUAAUCGUAGAUCAGCCAUGCUACGGUGAAUACGUUCCCGGGUCUUGUACUCACCGCCCGUCACACCAUGGGAGUUGAUUUCACUCGAAGCCGGAAUACUAAACUAGUUACCGUCCACAGUGGAAUCAGCGACUGGGGUGAAGUCGUAACAAGGUAACCGUAGGAGAACCUGCGGUUGGAUCACCUCCUUUCUA
RNAcentral lists this ribosomal RNA (855 nucleotides) under Campylobacter jejuni. Its description in RNAcentral is "bacterial SSU rRNA". It matches the Rfam family "Bacterial small subunit ribosomal RNA", at positions 678 to 1533 of the family's 1533-position model. The record is from RNAcentral. Lineage: Bacteria; Pseudomonadati; Campylobacterota; Epsilonproteobacteria; Campylobacterales; Campylobacteraceae.